CUGGCUCAGGACGAACGCUGGCGGCGUGCUUAACACAUGCAAGUCGAACGAUGAUGCCCAGCUUGCUGGGUUGAUUAGUGGCGAACGGGUGAGUAACACGUGAGUAACCUGCCCCUGACUCUGGGAUAAGCGUUGGAAACGACGUCUAAUACUGGAUACGACUGCCGGCCGCAUGGUCUGGUGGUGGAAAGAUUUUUUGGUUGGGGAUGGACUCGCGGCCUAUCAGCUUGUUGGUGAGGUAAUGGCUCACCAAGGCGACGACGGGUAGCCGGCCUGAGAGGGUGACCGGCCACACUGACUGAGACACGGCCCAGACUCCUACGGGAGGCAGCAGUGGGGAAUAUUGCACAAUGGGCGAAAGCCUGAUGCAGCAACGCCGCGUGAGGGAUGACGGCCUUCGGGUUGUAAACCUCUUUUAGUAGGGAAGAAGCGAAAGUGACGGUACCUGCAGAAAAAGCACCGGCUAACUACGUGCCAGCAGCCGCGGUAAUA
RNAcentral lists this ribosomal RNA (492 nucleotides) under Curtobacterium citreum. RNAcentral's name for it is "bacterial SSU rRNA". It matches the Rfam family "Bacterial small subunit ribosomal RNA", at positions 19 to 525 of the family's 1533-position model. The record is from RNAcentral. Lineage: Bacteria; Bacillati; Actinomycetota; Actinomycetes; Micrococcales; Microbacteriaceae.